Molecule: transfer RNA, 75 nt
Filed under: Candidatus Aenigmarchaeota archaeon ex4484_56
Lineage: Archaea; Nanobdellati; Candidatus Aenigmatarchaeota
Also listed under: 2 other names
Description: tRNA-Pro
Rfam family: tRNA
About the family: Transfer RNA (tRNA) molecules are approximately 80 nucleotides in length. Their secondary structure includes four short double-helical elements and three loops (D, anti-codon, and T loops).
Source: RNAcentral
GGGAAAGUAGUCUAGUUUGGUCUAGGACUCCAGCUUGGGGUGCUGGCAACCCGGGUUCAAAUCCCGGCUUUCCCA